This 288-nucleotide long non-coding RNA is filed under the name Musa acuminata (dwarf banana). Its description in RNAcentral is "long non-coding RNA (MACU_LNC010480)". The record is from RNAcentral. Lineage: Eukaryota; Viridiplantae; Streptophyta; Magnoliopsida; Zingiberales; Musaceae.
UCGAGACAAUUAAUCCUAAGCAAUUAACCAAGUUGUCCGACAUGUCAUUGGUCCCUCGACGCUUCGUCCGAUUCUUCGGCUCAUCGUCCUCUCCUGCGGCCUAUUGCCCAAUCGGCCAGUUGACUCCGCAACUCCGAUAUCCUUGGCGCAAUACCCGCUCUUCUUGGCCUGAUGCCCGAGUCCACGGCCCGAAGCCUUCUGUCGAUACGUCGACCGAUCCACCGGCCCGAUGUCCAAUCUUCUGACAUGUUCCUUCGGCACAACAUGAUUUUCCUGCUUUAAUUGUCU